This 776-nucleotide ribosomal RNA is filed under the name uncultured Neocallimastigales. RNAcentral's name for it is "partial large subunit ribosomal RNA". It matches the Rfam family "Eukaryotic large subunit ribosomal RNA", at positions 23 to 646 of the family's 3401-position model. The record is from RNAcentral. Lineage: Eukaryota; Fungi; Neocallimastigomycota; Neocallimastigomycetes; Neocallimastigales.
AGAGAUGUGUGAUGACGCAUAUCAAUAAGCGGAGGAAAAGAAACUAACAAGGAUUCCCUUAGUAACGGCGAGUGAAGCGGGAAGAGCUCAAAUUUGAAAUCUUCAAGGUUCUACCUUGACGAAUUGUAGUUUAUAGAAGUGUUUUCUGUUAGUGGAGUGGCAAAAGUUCUUUGGAAUAGGACAUCGUAGAGGGUGAGAAUCCCGUAUUUGGUCAUUCCUCCUAGCGUUGUGAUACACUUUCAACGAGUCGGAUUGUUUGGGAAUGCAGUCCAAAAUGGGUGGUAAGUUUCAUCUAAAGCUAAAUAUUGGCGAGAGACCGAUAGCGAACAAGUACCGUGAGGGAAAGAUGAAAAGAACUUUGAAAAGAGAGUUAAACAGUACGUGAAAUUGUCAAAAGGGAAGCGUUUGACACCAGUGUUGUUUUUCCGAAAAUCAAUUACGAAUGUUUUGUUUUUGAGGAGUUAUGACUUCAUCGGCUUGCUCCUUUCUUUAUGAAACUUUCUUAAUGCACUUUUCGGGUAACAAGUCAACAUCAAUUUCUUUUGUUGUAAAAGGGUACGAGGAAGGUGGCUUUCUUUUCGGAGAAAGUGUUUAUAGCCUUGUAGCCUCUGCAAUCGGAGAGAUUGAGGUCUGCAGCGUAGAUCCUUCGGGGUUAGAUACAUUUGUGCUAAGCUAUAGCCUUUUCAUAGACAACUUGUUGACUAUGCUCUAGUCAUGUAGCUUACUCGCUUAUGCUAUUUUACCUACGCUUAGGAUGUUGAUCUGUAGUGCGUGCG